UAGGGAAUUUUCGUCAAUGGGCGCAAGCCUGAACGAGCAAUGCCGCGUGAACGAGGAAGGUCUUCGGAUCGUAAAGUUCUGUUGAAGGGGAAAAAGAGCGGAGAGAGGAAAUGCUUUCUGAUUGAUAUUACCCUUCGACGGAAGUCACGGCUAACUACGUCGCC
Molecule: ribosomal RNA, 164 nt
Filed under: uncultured bacterium
Lineage: Bacteria
Description: partial 16S ribosomal RNA
Rfam family: Bacterial small subunit ribosomal RNA
Source: RNAcentral